Molecule: ribosomal RNA, 565 nt
Filed under: uncultured bacterium
Lineage: Bacteria
Description: partial 16S ribosomal RNA
Rfam family: Bacterial small subunit ribosomal RNA
Source: RNAcentral
UGGGGAAUUUUGGACAAUGGGGGAAACCCUGAUCCAGCCAUCCCGCGUGUGCGAUGAAGGCCUUCGGGUUGUAAAGCACUUUUGGCAGGAAAGAAACGUCGCGGGUUAAUACCCCGCGGAACUGACGGUACCUGCAGAAUAAGCACCGGCUAACUACGUGCCAGCAGCCGCGGUAAUACGUAGGGUGCAAGCGUUAAUCGGAAUUACUGGGCGUAAAGCGUGCGCAGGCGGUUCGGAAAGAAAGAUGUGAAAUCCCAGAGCUUAACUUUGGAACUGCAUUUUUAACUACCGGGCUAGAGUGUGUCAGAGGGAGGUGGAAUUCCGCGUGUAGCAGUGAAAUGCGUAGAUAUGCGGAGGAACACCGAUGGCGAAGGCAGCCUCCUGGGAUAACACUGACGCUCAUGCACGAAAGCGUGGGGAGCAAACAGGAUUAGAUACCCUGGUAGUCCACGCCCUAAACGAUGUCAACUAGCUGUUGGGGUCUUCGGACCUUGGUAGCGCAGCUAACGCGUGAAGUUGACCGCCUGGGGAGUACGGUCGCAAGAUUAAAAACUUAAAUGAAUUG